This 63-nucleotide transfer RNA is filed under the name Coleoptera sp. ACP-2013. RNAcentral describes it as "tRNA-His". Lineage: Eukaryota; Metazoa; Arthropoda; Insecta; Coleoptera. The record is from RNAcentral.
UUUAGGUAGUUUAUAAAAAUAUUGAUUUGUGGGGUCAAAGAUAUGAUUAAUCAUUCUAAAUAA